This 692-nucleotide ribosomal RNA is filed under the name uncultured bacterium. RNAcentral's name for it is "bacterial SSU rRNA". It matches the Rfam family "Bacterial small subunit ribosomal RNA", at positions 28 to 730 of the family's 1533-position model. The record is from RNAcentral.
GACGAACGCUGGCGGCGUGCUUAACACAUGCAAGUCGAGCGGUAAGGCACCUUCGGGUGUACACGAGCGGCGAACGGGUGAGUAACACGUGAGCAACCUGCCUUCUCAUCGGAAUAAGCGUUGGAACGACGUCUAAUGCCGAAUACGACUUCGGACCGCAUGGUCUGAAGUGGAAAGCUCCGGCGGAGAAGGAUGGGCUCGCGGCCUAUCAGCUAGUUGGUGUGGGUAACGGCUCACCAAGGCGACGACGGGUAGCCGGCCUGAGAGGGUGACCGGCCACACUGGGGACUGAGACACGGCCCAGACUCCUACGGGAGGCAGCAGUGGGGAAUAUUGGACAAUGGGCGAAAGCCUGAUCCAGCAACGCCGCGUGAGGGAUGACGGCCUUCGGGUUGUAAACCUCUUUCAGCAGGGACGAAGCGAAAGUGACGGUACCUGCAGAAGAAGGACCGGCCAACUACGUGCCAGCAGCCGCGGUAAUACGUAGGGUCCGAGCGUUGUCCGGAAUUAUUGGGCGUAAAGGGCUCGUAGGCGGUUUGUCACGUCGGGAGUGAAAACCUCAGGGCUCAACCCUGAGCGUGCUUCCGAUACGGGGCAGGACUAGAGGUAUGCAGGGGAGAACGGAAUUUCCUGGUGUAGCGGUGGAAAAGCCGCAGAUAUCAGGAGGAACACCGGUGGCGAAGGCGUUCUCU